CAGCUAAAGAAACCGGCUCAGAGAAUGUUAUUUGAUUGGACCGUGUUGCAUCUCUGGACAGUGCAGCUGAGAUCAGACUUUGUGUGUAACUCCACUAGCCUACCAGGGUGCCUCUCAUAAAGCUACCCUUCUUCGGCUGGCAACACACAGGACCUGGCGGGGAGGUCGCUCUUACCAGUCCCCACUCUGACGAGAAGACUGCCCAGCUCCAGGCACCGUAGGGCCCCAGUGACGUAGCCGAACACCCACGCCUCUGACGUCGCCAGAGGCCCACCUCUAUGGUGUCGGCGAAGGCGCGCCAUUGUGACGUCACGGAAGGCGCGCUCUUGUGACGCCACGGAAGGCGCGCUCUUGCGGCGUCACGGAAGGCGCGCUCUUGUGAGGUCGCAGGGGACCGCCACUCACGCGGAGCCAAUCGGAACUCGCGGCGGGGCUGCUGGGUCUUCCAGGAGCGCGCUUGAGCGGACGCUGCCUACCGGUGGCCGGGCGGGAUGUAACCCGCUGCUGAGCUGGCAGCUCUGUGUCGCUAGGCUUCGGCCCGGCCGCCGCCGCACAUAAGCUGCGAGGAGGAGCUUUACGACUUCCCGGUCUUCGGGGCCGGGCGCAGCAAGGGCCAGACUCUGCGCUAGCAGGCGCUGCGCGCCAACCGGCCGGCACCUGUCGCAGAAGGUGCAACCGAUCGCACUGUCGCGCCGAAGCUCCUCAAUGGCCAGCGCCAGCUGCAGCCCCGGCCGCCCACUCGCCUCACCUGAGCCUGGGAGCUUGAAAAAUCACAUUUGAGAAGAGGAUUGGAUCCUAGCCAUAACAUAAAUAUAAGGGUGGAACCAAAGUUUUAAUCAAAGAAGGUGGUGUUCAGUUGCUGCUUACAAUAGUUGAUACCCCAGGAUUUGGAGAUGCAGUGGAUAACAGUAAUUGCUGGCAGCCUGUUAUCAAUUACAUUGAUAUUAAAUUUGAGGACUACCUAAAUGCAGAAUCGCGAGUGAACAGAUGUCAGAUGCCUGGUAACAGGGUGCAGUGUUGUUUAUACUUCAUUGCUCCUUCAGGACAUGGACCAUUACAUAACUGAAGACUCCCACCUUCAGGCAGGAUUGGGUAGUACGUGUUUGUAACUACCUGGCAUUGCCUUUUGUUGAGGUUAGAUCUUGGGACAGCCCACAUACCUAGACAAACUUAGGCUUUCCAGCUUGCACUGGACCAGGGUGGAAAGGAAGGGUAGAUGUCUACCCAAAUGGAAUAUUGAGUAUCAGAGACUUCAAAUGAUAACUUUUGUUUGUUUGGAGAAAAUCUUGAGGACGUGAUCACUGUACAAAAGCAUGGCAAAAUGAGGAAACCACUGACAGGUGAAGAAUUUGCACAAUGGAAAACCACCUUGACCAUCUCAUGACUUUAUACAGGAAUCGGAGGUAAGUGUUCCUUUAAAGUGAUUUUGUCAUGAAAGAGUCAUCUGAAAUGACUCUCGUGAUGGAGGAAAGGAAAGUAAUGAAAUCAACAUUCAUGGUUAUUUAAAAUGCCUUAAAAGCUAAGCAUAAUAUACAUAGUAACUCCUUUUCCUAGUAUAAAAAUAGUGCCAGAAACUAUAUUUGUUCAAAUAUAUUGAAAAGGUAUAAGAAUACAAAUAGAUAUUAACAGUGGCUAGUGAUGCCUCAUAAGGUUUUCUUAAACUGUAAUAUAAAUUUAUAUUUUCAACUAUUUACAUUGCUUUCAACAACAUUCAUUAAGACAUGUUUACACAGGCUUUUAGUAAGUAUAUGGAAUGGUAAAGUGAGCUUUAAUACUUUCUUCUUCACUCUCUGUAGUAGAGCAGAAGGGGUCCAAAACCAUGCACAAUUUAACAGUCCAGAAGAACUGUGUAAUCUUUACCUGGCUAGCACAUGGAAAAAAUAAACUAUAUACAAGAAUACAAAACUCCUAAAGUGUUCUUCAACUAUCAGCAGGUUAAGUGAUUCAUACUUGCAAAAAGACAGGAUGUUUGUUUACUGGUAGAUUCUUAGUAAGUUUCAGGUAAAGAAGGUGCAUAAAACAUAUGUUAUUGAUGAAAAUGGAAAUGAUGCAGUAUACCCCAUGUUCUCACAUUAAAUUGGCAGUAUCAGAAGCUAAGUCUCUUCUCUAGCACCUCCUUCAGGGACCGUGAGCUCCUUGGGGUCACUGCUCUGUCUCCACAGCAGAGCACGGUACCUAACAUGUGGCAGGACUCAAUAAAAGGUGGGUCAGUGUAUUUCUGAUACAAAACAAUUAAAUUGUGCCACCUUAUUUUGACUACAGUUGUUCAUAAGAGAGGAUAACGAUGACAUUUUGUAUCCUCUCAUAUUAAAUCAAUCUUGUAAACAAAAGACAAUUGCUUGUGAUGGCCUGUUAAGUUUUAGGAGUACAAUCUGGUGAAAAACACAGAAAAAAAUUGUAGAUCAAAUUGGAACAGGUCUAAUAUUUAUUUGCUAUGCUGAAAAUAAAGGCACUUCACUGCUAGGCAAGAAUAUAUCUGUGACUGAACAGUUUUCUCCAAGAAUCCAAUAUUUCCAGUAUAUUUUCAUAUACUUUCUUAUCUCUAAUACUCCUAUUAAAGGAAACUAUUAUUCAAAAUUAAGAGACAGUGGUGACAACAUCAUCAUCCUGGGUUUGUACCUUGAAGCAAUAUACUCAAUGAGCUCUAAAUCUCACAUUCACUAGUGAUCUGCAAGUGAAGCUGAAUAAAUAUAUUCUCUUUGUUCAGUCAUGGAAACUCAACAUUAGAAAUGACAUGUGGGAAUAGAUCACCUUCUCUCUAGACUAAUAUCCCAUUUCUGACAGUGGUCUCCAUGGCCCAUUGGGGCUUAUAAAGUAGCUGCCUUCUGUGACAUUCUGCUUGAAGACAAAGGCUUUGCCCAAACAUAACUCCUUUUAAAAAAGCACAACUUGUUUAGGCACACAGAGGUUAAGUGACUUACACAAAUCCACCCAGGAUUGUGAUUGGCACGGUCUAAUCUACUGAAAAAUAUAAGGCCAGGCAAUUAUAUAGAUAUCUUUUAACAAGUUAGUAAAAUAGUGGGGACUUUUCUGGCUAAAAAUUGUAAUUAAAUGGUAUGUUACUCUGUUAUAACUAAACAAACAAAAAAUCUAGAACAAGAACUUCUUGCUAGUUAUGGGUAAUAUAAAUACAGAGUAAGGUGAAGGAGGACUGUAUGUAUAUUUUUCCAACUUGAGAAGAUACUAGAAAGGAAAUUAAAAAUUAUUUGAACCAAUUAACCAGCCCUAAAGAAGUACUCUGCUUUGUAUGAACUAAAAUAUCCAACAAAGAAAUAAAAUAGGCAUUGCCCAGCUUCCUUUAAUGUCUCAACUAGUAAAGUAAAAUAAACAAUAUUCAAAGGCAGACCAAACCAUUUCUAAUCUAAAUAUAUCUUCUUGCUUAUUAAAAUGACACACAUACAAAGCCUCUAAACACGAUCUACCAUGUCUUUAAAAAAUUUCUCAGUGACACAUACUAGAGGGGACCAAACAAACUACUAAAGCAUAAGUACAUAUUUUAGCAUAACUGCUAAAUCACAAUGUAAUAAAAAGGUUUAUUAAAGAUUGCUAUUCUUUAUGCAAUUUUUCUAUACUAAGGAUUUAUGUAUGCAUGCAUAAGUAUACACCUGUAUGUAUAUAUAACUAUUAUUUUAGUGAUAGUCUGUGUAUUUUACACACCAGUGCCACAAAGGGGCAACCUUACAAAUUUUAUCUGUAUGGCAAAAAAAAUAAAAUAUCCUGAAAAUACAAGUAUACAAUACAUAUAGCAUUAAACAGUUGGUAACUUCCUAGAUUAACCUUUACCAAAUACAAAAUAAUGGCAAUACAAUGUGUUUUGCUUCUAUUUUUUGUUUUUUUACCAGAAUGAUAAAAAUAAAACUGCAUUAUGUCAAGAUAUUUGUACACACUCAGAAUUUUAAAAACUUAAGGAACAUACUGAAUUUUAGGCAAAAUUUAGGGGAAUCGGGACAUAGAUGGAAAACACAUUUUGGCGAAAGGUCCUUGAGAAUGCUGGAUUACCAUGUCCCUUAGAAAUUUUCUAUCCAAAUUAGUGAUAGAAACUCAGAUCAAAUAUCUUUUUUGUGGGUUGGAGGUAGAAGUUAACAAAUCAAGCAAAUCUCUCCUUCUACUCUCCCCAAAUCCAAACAUUCCUGCAUAUUUGAAACAAAUUUUCCUUUCCUAGACCAGUUGCUUAAUUCAUUAUCUACUUCUCCAAUAUUGAGUAAAUGUGUCUUUAGGGGCACACAUGUAGAAUAUUAAUCCACUUAAAUGGGCUCAAAUUCUAAGAAAAUAUUAACUAUACUAAAUGUUAUGGGAAGAAAAUACAUUGAAUGUGAGUUAAGGGCCAGUGUUUAGCAUUCACAUCCAGGAUUCUCUGGAUCUCAGUUGACUUGUCCUAUACAUCAAAAUAUGGCAAUUUUUCAAUCACAAUACUGCUAAAUGUUAUUCAGGCAUAAAGUUUCUUACCCACUGUUCCCUCAAAUUCAUUUUUGACCCUAGUAUUGGCAAUAGCCCUUUGCUAUUUAUAUAAUUAAAACUUUUCUUUAAAUUUCAAUUGACAGGAAAAAGAGUCAUUUUGUACUCUCUUAUCUAUAACCAUGUCUCACUUCAAGUCAAUGCUACAAUUGUCACUUUUAUUUUGAAAAGGAAGCUCAGAAGGAAAAAAACUCUUAGAGAGAUCUUCUAACAGAACAUUUUUCUUCACUGAUAGACAUCCAAGGCCAUUCCAUUUCUAAAUCACACUUAUCCCUCAAUCAAGUCAGUGACUGGAUCAUCUCCUAAGGUUUCACCUGCUUUGCAUCAGGUAGGUGAGAUGAAAGUGAUUUUAUGGGUAGCUUUCAGAAAAAUGUACUGCACUGAAGUGACAAAGUUCUGUCUUGCCUGUUCUCUCACAAAACAGCAUAUCAAUUAAAUAAUGUUUUCUUUACAAUACAGUUUCAUAGGACUUUCCAUUUGUUUCAGAGUGCCUUAACUUUUUAAAAAAAGACACUGUUAACAAAUACAAUUAUUUCUCUUAAAAUCCACUCAGCCAGCAUUUUUCACUAUCCUAUAAAGGCUUUAAAUGUCACAGAAUGUAUGAUAAUUUGCUCCUAACCUACUUUUGAAAAAGGAAAGAUUCCAAACAUUCUUGAAAAAAUGGUAAUUCAGAAAACACAAAAACCAAUUAUUUAAAAUAAUCCCCAAGCAAAAAAACCUCAGUGCAAGAAUACUGCAUACACUUUGCAGUACACGAAAUAUCACAAACAAUGCUUUUAUCAAUGUGCUAACAGUGGAUGUUGUUGAUCCUUUCAGUUCAGUAGCAUAAAACAAAUAUACAAAAAAUAUGUAAUAGUCCUCUAAAAACAUUCAUGCUAUACUCUCAAAAGUUGUGCAAAAAUAAAAAUACAGCAGUGGCAAAGUAUAUACCAAAUACAGACACUAUACAGACAGUGUGUAAGAAACUAGGCAUAUUGCAGAACACACCAUCUCUGUAAACUUCAACUCUGCAUGAAAUAGGCCACUCAGUUCCGCUUGGCCUGGCCGCUUUCCCCAUUAAUCAGCAUCUUCUCCUGCUGUUCUGCAAGGGCCUGCCAUUUCUGCCUGUUCUUUCUGCAGCCAUCUAGCAAAGGGAAACAGUCCUCUGACACGUGGGUCAGGGCCUAAAGAGAAAAAAGAAAGCAAACAGCUAGAGAGAAGCCAGGAAAUAAGUCCUCU
This 5673-nucleotide long non-coding RNA is filed under the name Homo sapiens (human). Its description in RNAcentral is "PREDICTED lncRNA (TCONS_00202683)". Lineage: Eukaryota; Metazoa; Chordata; Mammalia; Primates; Hominidae. The record is from RNAcentral.